GGCGGCAGGCCUAACACAUGCAAGUCGAACGGUAACAGGAAGCAGCUUGCUGCUUCGCUGACGAGUGGCGGACGGGUGAGUAAUGUCUGGGAAACUGCCUGAUGGAGGGGGAUAACUACUGGAAACGGUAGCUAAUACCGCAUAACGUCGCAAGACCAAAGAGGGGGACCUUCGGGCCUCUUGCCAUCGGAUGUGCCCAGAUGGGAUUAGCUAGUAGGUGGGGUAACGGCUCACCUAGGGCGACGAUCCCUAGCUGGUCUGAGAGGAUGACCAGCCACACUGGAACUGAGACACGGUCCAGACUCCUACGGGAGGCAGCAGUGGGGAAUAUUGCACAAUGGGCGCAAGCCUGAUGCAGCCAUGCCGCGUGUAUGAAGAAGGCCUUCGGGUUGUAAAGUACUUUCAGCGGGGAGGAAGGCGAUAAGGUUAAUAACCUUGUCGAUUGACGUUACCCGCAGAAGAAGCACCGGCUAACUCCGUGCCAGCAGCCGCGGUAAAUACGGAGGGUGCAAGCGUUAAUCGGAAUUACUGGGCGUAAAAGCGCAACCGCAGGCNGUCUGUACAAGUUCGGNAUGUUGAAAAUCCCCGG
RNAcentral lists this ribosomal RNA (589 nucleotides) under uncultured bacterium. RNAcentral describes it as "bacterial SSU rRNA". It matches the Rfam family "Bacterial small subunit ribosomal RNA", at positions 38 to 607 of the family's 1533-position model. The record is from RNAcentral.